This 451-nucleotide ribosomal RNA is filed under the name uncultured bacterium. Its description in RNAcentral is "partial 16S ribosomal RNA". It matches the Rfam family "Bacterial small subunit ribosomal RNA", at positions 354 to 796 of the family's 1533-position model. The record is from RNAcentral.
GUGGGGAAUAUUGCGCAAUGGGGGAAACCCUGACGCAGCGACGCCGUGUGAGGGAAGAAGGCUUUCGGGUCGUAAACCUCUGUCAGAAAGGAAGAACCUCCCAAGUCCGAAUAGGGCUUGGGACUGACGGUACUUUCAAAGGAAGCACCGGCUAACUCCGUGCCAGCAGCCGCGGUAAUACGGAGGGUGCAAGCGUUAAUCGGAAUCACUGGGCGUAAAGCGCGCGUAGGCCGCUUUGUAAGUCGGACGUGAAAGCCCUCGACUCAACCGGGGAACUGCGUUAGAUACUGCGAGGCUUGAGUCCUGGAGAGGGUGGCGGAAGUCCGGGUGUAGGAGUGAAAUCCGUAGAUAUCCGGAGGAACACCGGUGGCGAAGGCGGCCACCUGGACAGGUACUGACGCUGAGGCGCGAAAGCGUGGGGAGCAAACAGGAUUAGAUACCCUAGUAGUCC